RNAcentral lists this ribosomal RNA (2921 nucleotides) under Staphylococcus aureus subsp. aureus KPL1828. RNAcentral's name for it is "bacterial LSU rRNA". It matches the Rfam family "Bacterial large subunit ribosomal RNA". Lineage: Bacteria; Bacillati; Bacillota; Bacilli; Caryophanales; Staphylococcaceae. The record is from RNAcentral.
UUAAGUUAUUAAGGGCGCACGGUGGAUGCCUUGGCACUAGAAGCCGAUGAAGGACGUUACUAACGACGAUAUGCUUUGGGGAGCUGUAAGUAAGCUUUGAUCCAGAGAUUUCCGAAUGGGGAAACCCAGCAUGAGUUAUGUCAUGUUAUCGAUAUGUGAAUACAUAGCAUAUCAGAAGGCACACCCGGAGAACUGAAACAUCUUAGUACCCGGAGGAAGAGAAAGAAAAUUCGAUUCCCUUAGUAGCGGCGAGCGAAACGGGAAGAGCCCAAACCAACAAGCUUGCUUGUUGGGGUUGUAGGACACUCUAUACGGAGUUACAAAGGACGACAUUAGACGAAUCAUCUGGAAAGAUGAAUCAAAGAAGGUAAUAAUCCUGUAGUCGAAAAUGUUGUCUCUCUUGAGUGGAUCCUGAGUACGACGGAGCACGUGAAAUUCCGUCGGAAUCUGGGAGGACCAUCUCCUAAGGCUAAAUACUCUCUAGUGACCGAUAGUGAACCAGUACCGUGAGGGAAAGGUGAAAAGCACCCCGGAAGGGGAGUGAAAUAGAACCUGAAACCGUGUGCUUACAAGUAGUCAGAGCCCGUUAAUGGGUGAUGGCGUGCCUUUUGUAGAAUGAACCGGCGAGUUACGAUUUGAUGCAAGGUUAAGCAGUAAAUGUGGAGCCGUAGCGAAAGCGAGUCUGAAUAGGGCGUUUAGUAUUUGGUCGUAGACCCGAAACCAGGUGAUCUACCCUUGGUCAGGUUGAAGUUCAGGUAACACUGAAUGGAGGACCGAACCGACUUACGUUGAAAAGUGAGCGGAUGAACUGAGGGUAGCGGAGAAAUUCCAAUCGAACCUGGAGAUAGCUGGUUCUCUCCGAAAUAGCUUUAGGGCUAGCCUCAAGUGAUGAUUAUUGGAGGUAGAGCACUGUUUGGACGAGGGGCCCCUCUCGGGUUACCGAAUUCAGACAAACUCCGAAUGCCAAUUAAUUUAACUUGGGAGUCAGAACAUGGGUGAUAAGGUCCGUGUUCGAAAGGGAAACAGCCCAGACCACCAGCUAAGGUCCCAAAAUAUAUGUUAAGUGGAAAAGGAUGUGGCGUUGCCCAGACAACUAGGAUGUUGGCUUAGAAGCAGCCAUCAUUUAAAGAGUGCGUAAUAGCUCACUAGUCGAGUGACACUGCGCCGAAAAUGUACCGGGGCUAAACAUAUUACCGAAGCUGUGGAUUGUCCUUUGGACAAUGGUAGGAGAGCGUUCUAAGGGCGUUGAAGCAUGAUCGUAAGGACAUGUGGAGCGCUUAGAAGUGAGAAUGCCGGUGUGAGUAGCGAAAGACGGGUGAGAAUCCCGUCCACCGAUUGACUAAGGUUUCCAGAGGAAGGCUCGUCCGCUCUGGGUUAGUCGGGUCCUAAGCUGAGGCCGACAGGCGUAGGCGAUGGAUAACAGGUUGAUAUUCCUGUACCACCUAUAAUCGUUUUAAUCGAUGGGGGGACGCAGUAGGAUAGGCGAAGCGUGCGAUUGGAUUGCACGUCUAAGCAGUAAGGCUGAGUAUUAGGCAAAUCCGGUACUCGUUAAGGCUGAGCUGUGAUGGGGAGAAGACAUCGUGUCUUCGAGUCGUUGAUUUCACACUGCCGAGAAAAGCCUCUAGAUAGAAAAUAGGUGCCCGUACCGCAAACCGACACAGGUAGUCAAGAUGAGAAUUCUAAGGUGAGCGAGCGAACUCUCGUUAAGGAACUCGGCAAAAUGACUCCGUAACUUCGGGAGAAGGGGUGCUCUUUAGGGUUAACGCCCAGAAGAGCCGCAGUGAAUAGGCCCAAGCGACUGUUUAUCAAAAACACAGGUCUCUGCUAAACCGUAAGGUGAUGUAUAGGGGCUGACGCCUGCCCGGUGCUGGAAGGUUAAGAGGAGUGGUUAGCUUCUGCGAAGCUACGAAUCGAAGCCCCAGUAAACGGCGGCCGUAACUAUAACGGUCCUAAGGUAGCGAAAUUCCUUGUCGGGUAAGUUCCGACCCGCACGAAAGGCGUAACGAUUUGGGCACUGUCUCAACGAGAGACUCGGUGAAAUCAUAGUACCUGUGAAGAUGCAGGUUACCCGCGACAGGACGGAAAGACCCCGUGGAGCUUUACUGUAGCCUGAUAUUGAAAUUCGGCACAGCUUGUACAGGAUAGGUAGGAGCCUUUGAAACGUGAGCGCUAGCUUACGUGGAGGCGCUGGUGGGAUACUACCCUAGCUGUGUUGGCUUUCUAACCCGCACCACUUAUCGUGGUGGGAGACAGUGUCAGGCGGGCAGUUUGACUGGGGCGGUCGCCUCCUAAAAGGUAACGGAGGCGCUCAAAGGUUCCCUCAGAAUGGUUGGAAAUCAUUCAUAGAGUGUAAAGGCAUAAGGGAGCUUGACUGCGAGACCUACAAGUCGAGCAGGGUCGAAAGACGGACUUAAUGAUCCGGUGGUUCCGCAUGGAAGGGCCAUCGCUCAACGGAUAAAAGCUACCCCGGGGAUAACAGGCUUAUCUCCCCCAAGAGUUCACAUCGACGGGGAGGUUUGGCACCUCGAUGUCGGCUCAUCGCAUCCUGGGGCUGUAGUCGGUCCCAAGGGUUGGGCUGUUCGCCCAUUAAAGCGGUACGCGAGCUGGGUUCAGAACGUCGUGAGACAGUUCGGUCCCUAUCCGUCGUGGGCGUAGGAAAUUUGAGAGGAGCUGUCCUUAGUACGAGAGGACCGGGAUGGACAUACCUCUGGUGUACCAGUUGUCGUGCCAACGGCAUAGCUGGGUAGCUAUGUGUGGACGGGAUAAGUGCUGAAAGCAUCUAAGCAUGAAGCCCCCCUCAAGAUGAGAUUUCCCAACUUCGGUUAUAAGAUCCCUCAAAGAUGAUGAGGUUAAUAGGUUCGAGGUGGAAGCAUGGUGACAUGUGGAGCUGACGAAUACUAAUCGAUCGAAGACUUAAUCAA